ACGGAGACAUGCUGCAAUAGGGGAUUAAUUAAAUGGCAUAGGAUGGAUACUUCAGCUUAGUGUUGCGAACACAACUUUUAGACCGAAGGAUUUUGUUUCACUUCGUGAUUUUCUUCUUUCGGAGGAGAGCACUUCAACCCCUCGAAGUAAGGUUCUCCUGCUUUACAAAACCCUGUUUCUCCAAUAGCUGUGAAUCCGUAAUUUGCCGAGAGUGACCACCUUGAGACCAUCCAAAUGGAGUCUGGAAAUGACUCAUGUAAAGUAGUAACACAGGAGAAAUAUGUUGCAUACAAGGUUUUUCACACAUACUCCUGAUCAAGGCCCUGCUCCUAUGUAAUACCCAGCUUUAGAGUAUGAUUUUUAAGUUAACUCUCACGGCAGAUAAUAUAUUUGGACUUCUACCAUAAGAGCAGGAUAUGCAUACGUCCUCAACUUUGUGCAAAUGUGGAGCGCUACGUAAACAACGUCGUCAGCGUUUGAAAUGUUAUCGAAUGAAGUUAUCACAGCGAGAGUUAUAAACUUGUGGUACUGCUCUGUAGCUAACCGUGGUUCACGAAUUGCAUGCAACAGUGGGCAUUGCAACUGGCAAUCUACAUCAACUUUUGACUUCAAGUGGAAGAUGAGCUCACGAAUGCAACUGAAGAAAGACGUACCACGGAGUCGCAUGUUUUCUUAUGCAAAGUACGUUUCGAAUCUGGGACUUGUACUAAAAUCCUCUUCCGGCAAAUGUGAUGUUAGCUUCUUUUAGCCACUGGUAUAACAGAAUGUGUCCAAGUUUGGGUGCCCCUCUUUCUAGUACUUUUGUUGAUCUGCAUCCCUUUGUCAACCGGUUGCACUUGGCCAUGAACGUCGUUGUACUCAUUUUUGCCCUACAAAAGUGAAUCCAAGAUGAUAGUUUAGU
Molecule: long non-coding RNA, 901 nt
Filed under: Physcomitrium patens
Lineage: Eukaryota; Viridiplantae; Streptophyta; Bryopsida; Funariales; Funariaceae
Description: long non-coding RNA (PPAT_LNC005901)
Source: RNAcentral